This 73-nucleotide transfer RNA is filed under the name Lepisosteus oculatus (spotted gar). It matches the Rfam family "tRNA". From Rfam's summary of the family: Transfer RNA (tRNA) molecules are approximately 80 nucleotides in length. Lineage: Eukaryota; Metazoa; Chordata; Actinopteri; Semionotiformes; Lepisosteidae. The record is from Rfam by way of RNAcentral.
UCUCAUUUGGUCUAGCAGUUAGGAUUCCUGGUUUUGCACCUCGGUGGCCCAGGUUCAACUCCUGGUAUGCGAA